Molecule: long non-coding RNA, 246 nt
Filed under: Hordeum vulgare
Lineage: Eukaryota; Viridiplantae; Streptophyta; Magnoliopsida; Poales; Poaceae
Description: long non-coding RNA (HVUL_LNC009239)
Source: RNAcentral
UUGUUUUUCUGUUUUUGCAGUUUAUUUUAAUUUAGUUUAGGCAUUAAAUCAUUUUGGAAAGAUAUGGAACUUUUUCUUGGCACUAACAAAAAUAUUUCGGAGGCCCUGGCCAGGUUUCUUAUUUAUUGGAGCUAUAAACUUAUUUAUAAUAUUUUAUAACUCCAAUACAAAUAUUUAUUAGUUUAAAGAAACGUAGGGACGUGAGAACUAACCACCACUUGAAAGAAUCUCGUCCCGUGAUUCAGG